GUAGAGACAGGUUUUUGUGCUGGGAUUAUAGAUGUGAGCCACCACGCCCAGCCCCAUUUUGUUAUAAUGUUGAUGAGGAAAACAGAAGUUUCAUUGUACAUCAUUUUGCUUAAAGUUGCAGUUUCUAAGACCCUAUCAACGAUGUUAAGUGACGACUUAACUGUAGUCGGAUUCCAUGGAAUGGAACCAUGGGCCAGGAUGGAUUAAAUCAACAGCCAGCAUCUACCUUAGAUUUAGGUCUUAAUUGCCCAGGAAACUUUUUUGAAAUAACCUGAAAUUAGGAGCCUCUGUCCCUUGUUCUAGAGCUCUUGCUGUUCCUUUGACCUCUCUCUUACCCAGUAUUCCUCCCUGAUGUCCCCAUUUGCACAUGCAGCUUGAGGAAUAGGUACCUGGGAACAGGUUAUGGGUCACUGAUAAGGCAGAAACCUUAAGGCCCUGGUUGCAGCAUAUUGCUGGCUUGGCUCCUUUCCCAGGCAGUCCUCUGCCCCCCUUUUCCUGGAACCUCGGCCCCAUUGCACAGGGCACCUGCCACCCUUUCAAAGGCCUGCCCCUUCACGAGGACAGCUCUGACUGCAAGAUCUUUCAAAGUAGAAAAGCUUAGCUUAACCUACGAUUACGUGCCCUCAGCUUGUGGGGAAGGAGAGAGGCGGAUGCUGUGACAUCAGAAGAGAAAAAGUCAGAGGACCACCUGGAGCCACAUCAUACUGGGAGCUGUUGGUGCUCUCAUUAAACAAGAGUUGACACAUGGUGACGAGGAGACUUCCAGAAGAAGUGGUGCAUGAGAGAAGCCGUGGAAAGAAAAGCGUCUGUGAGAACCAAGAGCCAUCAUGGUUUCUGGAGGGGUGGGGAUAAUUUAGGGACUGCAGGUGUCUGUGACAGGUGUGUCCUACUUGUUUCUAGCCAAACACUUCCCCUGACAGGGACCUCACCCAGCAGCUACUCUGGUUGGAAUGUGGAUCUGGGCCCUGUAAGGAACAUCGAUAGCCCAGACGUUUCCAGGCAGCAGAGACCCCACACUAAGAGGGCUGUGGCCUGAUCCUGCUCAUUGUCUUUUUCUGAAAAGCAUUUUGUUGGACAGGAGAUUCCAAAUCCUCACAUAUUCACCCAGAGAGCACAGUGAAGUGAGCCGACUUGAGGAUGCCUAGGAAACAGGUAUGUUGGGGUGUAUUCUGCCAACUCCAGGGCAGCAGCUGCCUUGUGGCGUGGCUGUUGUCCUGGGGAGUCGAGGCCCCCCUGCAUGUGUGACGAGCAGUUUCACCAGCACUCUGGCUGACGAACGUAAUGCCCUCCCCUUCACAAAAUCAAGAUGGGCUGGAAAGGCGGUAUCUGUCCUCAAGCUCAAGCUCAGUGGCCCAGCUGAAGAGGGCACAGCGGGAUAGAUGGCCUGCAGUGUCCCCAGCAGAACGCUGACUAGGAAGCAACUGUACCCAAGAUUCCUCAUGAGCUCUCCUGGAGAAAACAAACCAAACAGACUUCCCCCCACUGAGCUCUGCUGGACCAAGGGAAGCCACUUAUCUAAGCCCCUCGGAGGAGCUGGUCAGCUUAGACUUGGCAGUCUGAGGCCCAGGAAGGUACAGAAAUCACAGGAGCUUAGUAGAAUAUGCAAAAUGUUUUGAUGACGCUGACAGAUGUUUGUAUGGACUGGCCAGCUAAAGGGUCUCCAGGAGAACCAAACGUCAAUCAAUAAACCAGAGUCUGCCCAGAGGCAUGCAGCAGAACAGACCCCAAACAAAACAGAGAGGGGCAGGAGAGGAAGCAGUUCAGAGUAGCUGCAGCUGAGGCAGUGGCUCUUGCCUGUUAGAUGGGAAUGGAGAGGGGAGAGAAGGAAGGAAGAGUGGGAAUGUGACUCCUGGAGGCUGAGGACACUUAAAUGCCCAAGAGGGAUAGGAGUGAGACAGCAGCAACUAAGCUUUUGCAGACACAAUGCCCACAGUGAGGGCUGGUCUGAGGAGGGUGUUUUGCCAAAGUAACAGGGGACUUAUAUCUGCCCCAGAGGUCACUGUCUGUGAGCCUCUCCCUUGUUAGUAGAGCAGGUAAGGGCACUAAGCCAUCCACAGAGAUGCUCCAGAACAGCCGGCUCAACAGGGCUGAUUACGACCCUUAGUGGGUGACGGCCCCAAGGACUCAGUUCUCACAGGAACUUGGCUCCACUUACACUGGCUCCAGCCCCAGGCCUCUCACCCUCCCCAGAAAUCAAACCAUUGUAUCCCUUUUCCUUUCUGGAGAGGCUGCUGGCUCUCAGGGACACCCCUUUAGAAGAACAGGAUCCCUAGGAAGAGGCCACUCCCUGCAUCAGUUACCACACUAUCAACACAAGGCUUUGGGGAGGGCUCUGAACCAGAACUGCCCAAUCACGGACAAAGGACAUGGGAACCAUCGCCCCUCCCCAGCUGGUGAGAUACAAAGAGCCUGUUUUGGAAAUGAAGACGCUC
Cercocebus atys (sooty mangabey) is the source of this 2432-nucleotide long non-coding RNA. RefSeq lists it as uncharacterized. The transcript has 3 exons. Lineage: Eukaryota; Metazoa; Chordata; Mammalia; Primates; Cercopithecidae. The record is from RefSeq and is a predicted model, not a curated record.